AUACCAGAGUGGCCAAAUGGGGCAGACUGUAAAUCUGCUGUCUUUCGACUUCGGUGGUUCGAAUCCAUCU
RNAcentral lists this transfer RNA (70 nucleotides) under Bacteroides caccae CAG:21. RNAcentral's name for it is "transfer RNA-Pseudo(GTA)". It matches the Rfam family "tRNA", at positions 7 to 64 of the family's 71-position model. From Rfam's summary of the family: Transfer RNA (tRNA) molecules are approximately 80 nucleotides in length. Their secondary structure includes four short double-helical elements and three loops (D, anti-codon, and T loops). The record is from RNAcentral. Lineage: Bacteria; Pseudomonadati; Bacteroidota; Bacteroidia; Bacteroidales; Bacteroidaceae.